This 3663-nucleotide long non-coding RNA is filed under the name Medicago truncatula (barrel medic). Its description in RNAcentral is "long non-coding RNA (MTRU_LNC004067)". Lineage: Eukaryota; Viridiplantae; Streptophyta; Magnoliopsida; Fabales; Fabaceae. The record is from RNAcentral.
AGCGGAAUAGUUUUCAAAUCAUUAGCAUCGUGAACAUCCAACAACAUUUUAUGGCACUAAAGGCAUCAGCAUAAAGUCAACAACAUUGUUCAAAUAACAAUAAAAAGGCUCCACAUCAUAAUUCCAAAAUUGAUACAUAAGGAAUGAAAAUAAAUAUAACUAAUUCCCAUCCCGUACGUAUCAGAGCCCUAGACAGUUGAGCCACCACCUACUACUCAGGAUCACCUGCAAGUUACCCAUAGGAAGGGCAACAUUUUCAAGCAGAAGGGGUGCGAUUCACAACAAUAAAUAUAGAUAUUAAAAUCUUCAAUUGAAUCUAACACCCUAAACAACAAACACAUCAUCUUGCAAAUAUAAGUAUAUAAUUCACAAGCAACAAUACACAUUGUAACGCCCUAGUAGUAUUUUAUUUAUUUUAGAAUUAUUUGGAGUCUUUUGUGUAUUUUGUUUUUAAAAUAUUAUAUAUGAUUUAUGUGGUGUGUAGAAUUUAUUUUAUAAUUUAUUUAAUAUAAAUGGAACAAUAAGAGGAAUUGACUUAUUUUAGAAAUUAGGGAGUUAAUUAGGAGUUAAUAGUAAUUAGGAGGGGUUUAAUGAAAUAAGGGAAGUUACACUUUGAGGGAUUAAGGAAAGAAAGAUUAAGGAAAACAGUUUUACGUGAAAACAUUUGUGUUGGAGAGAAGACCUAGAGAAAGCAAGAGAAACCAAUAACAAGGGGGAAAACUUAGGAGCUGUUUUGCUGUGUUAAUUCUUCCUGCAAUUCUAAGGUAAGGGUGAGAUUUAUCGCAAUAGUAUAGAUUCUAAAUUCUGAAUUUGAUUUCUAACAGGUUUAUGUGAGAAUUGGGAAAAAAAAUGGGUUUUUGAUGAAUUAUUGAAUUUUGUGAGUAGAAUUUGUUAUAUUGAUGGUAGAAAUGGUUUCUGAGUGCCUAUAACCUUUCAUUUCAUAUCUGUAAACCAAUUUGGGGAGAGAAUGGAAGAAAAAUGGGAUUUUUGGGUGAAAAUCGCAGAAUUCACGUGUCUGAAACCGUCGCGCCUCGCCUGGCGAAGCAUUUUCGCCUGGCGAAAUAUCGCCUUUAGCUCGCCCUGGCUAGCUGUCUGGCGAGCUGUUUUGCAGAAUUCCCGAGAGAACCCAGGUUGAGUCCGCCAUGGCGAGUAGACCCCUCGCCUGGCGAGAAGCCAGUUUUCGCAGCCUUCGCCUGGCGAACCAAGUCAUCGCCUGGCGAGUUUACCCAGUUUUGAGUUGUUUAAUUUCUGUUUUGAUCUAUGUUGAAUGAACCCUGAUGGGUGUGCAUGAAUAUGAUUAACUGUGUUUUCUGGAAUUGUUGGAUGAUUAAGGUGAGCUAUUUCGAUGGUGGUGUAUAACUUUAUUUAAUUCAAAACAUACAUGAUGUGAAAUUGUGGAGUUGUGAGUCAUAUACAUAUAUAUACAUUUUGUCGGAGUUGUAUGUAUAUAUACAUAAGGGGUUAGUUGCAUAAGCAUAAUAGCGGUGAGGACUUCGGUCCUGGAAUGCCUUGUCAUUCAAAGUGGAGGAACACAAUGUUGUUCAAAGCGGUGUUUAACGGUGAGGACUCAUGUCCUGAUGAAAGAAUGCUUUAACCAUUCUAUAGCGGUGAGGGCCUCGGCCCUGUUAUGGUACCACAUGCAUUAUAGAGGAGUCUUAGUGGAGUGGUGGAGUGUUGCAUGAGUGGAUAUUUGUUGGUUUUAAAUUACCAUUAUUGUUGAUAUUGAUUAUGAUGAUGUUAUAAAAUAUUGAUGAAUUAUUAUUAUGAUAGGGUGAUAGAUUUAAUUGAUGGAUUUAUUAUCUAUAUUAUUGUUGUGAAUCUCACCCCUUCUGCUUGAAAAUGUUGCCCUUCGUAUGGGUAACUUGCAGGUGAUCCUGAGUAGUCGGCGGUGGCUCAAGUGUCGUGUCUAGGGCUCUGAUACGUGGGAUGGGACUUAUUUUGCUUGAUUUCUUCCUAUGUAUCAAAUUUUGAAUGUUGUCAUUGUAGCCCUAUUGAAUUCACGAAUUUCUUGUUGAGGCUUUAUGCCAAGAAUAUUUGUUGGAGAAUAUUUAUGUUUGAUGUUAUUGCUAUUCACGGUUGAAUAUUUUCCGCUGCAAGGUUCUAAUGAAGUAAUUAAGUUGGUUUCUAUUAAAUAGUUUUAUUUCUCUAUUUAAGAAAUUUUGAAGUUGAAAAGGAAGUGUGACAUGCCCGUUGGGGUUUUACUCUGAUUAUUAUUAUUAUUAUUAUAAUUGAUUAUUUGGGAACGGGGUGUUAACAUCACCAAAAUCCAUCCAUCACAAUAUGUAUAUAAAUAUAUAUUCAUCAACAACAUCAUCAUCAUCAAGGUGACAACUACAACCAACAACUAAGACUCAUGCAAAUGACAUGACGACACUGCUAAGACAACACCUUAGACUCCUCAAAUAUGCAAAUAUGCAUGUGGUACCAAACAGGACCGAAGCCCUCACCGCUUUUGAAUGGUUAAAGCAUUCAUCAGGACCGAAGCCCUCACCGCUGUGAACAACUAGUGCUCCAGGACAUGAGUCCUCCCCACUGUUUAUGCAUAUGCAAUGGACCCACUUGUGUAUAUCUACAUACAACUAGAUCAUGCAUACAUUCUUCAUAUGACUCCAACUUAUACAACAUGUAUGAUUCAAUAAUUAUAACAUACAUUCAACCAUCAGCUGCAUCAUCAAACAGUGAUCCAACAAUCUAGAAUAAUUAAUCCAACAGCUCCAGAAAUUAACACAUUUAAAUCACACAUAAUUUACCUUUGUUCAUCAAUUAAUAUCUAAUCAAUUCAGUUCAUCAUCUGAAACAUACACUUAAAUAAUAAUAAAAUUAAGUGCAAUUUUUACUAUCAUCCUUACAAGAAAAUCACAUUGAAGCUAGAAUACAUUAAUUAACUAAUAUAGUAGUAAGAUAUAACCUUAAGCUUAACCCUAUGAACCUACCACGUUCGACAACAAAAGGUCUAAGAGAAAGGGACAUAAUUUCACAGGUAGUUAUUUCAUAUAGUUUUAUAUCAAUAUUGAUUGGUUUCUACCAUAAAUAUGGUUACAUGCUACUAACCUAUAUGGAUGCUAUAAUCACUAAUUCACAUCACGUCAUAUAGUGGAGUAGAACUAGGAUAUGGGUAUUCAAUCUCUUCUUGCCUAAAUUCAUAAUUCCAACACUUCUUGAUACAAGUUGCAGUAGCGUAUUUCUCUGUAUUUAUUUCCAUGCGCAAAAUUUAUAUAUCGUACAACACUUCUUAGUUAGGUAUACUACUAAUCCGACCGUGCCGUCCUAUCGGUACCCAAAAGGGUAACUAAAAAUCGAUAAACUCCUCUCUAUAAUCAUGAGUUUAGCACAACAACAGUAUGAAUUAAGAGAUAGGAAUAUAAAGUCACAGCAACAAUUUAGAACACAAUUUUAACAUGAAUUCAUCAACCUAUUGUAUUAUCCUCUCUUUUCACCAUUCAAUUUUAUGAUUUCUACACUUUCUCAAUCCAAAAUUCAUUCUUAAAACCUAACCCCCAAAUUAACCAAAACCCUCAUGUUAAAAUCAAAAUCAGAAUUAUAAUCUAUACUAUUGAAGCAAACCUCACCAUUACCUUAGAUUGAAGGACAUAACUCUACAGAAAAUCCGAUUCUCUUCACUUGGCUCUCCUCUUGGUUUCUCCCAAAACUGAUGUAAGUGAA